AGACCCGAAACCCGGUGAUCUAGCCAUGGGCAGGUUGAAGGUUGGGUAACACUAACUGGAGGACCGAACCGACUAAUGUUGAAAAAUUAGCGGAUGACCUGUGGCUGGGGGUGAAAGGCCAAUCAAACCGGGAGAUAGCUGGUUCUCCCCGAAAGCUAUUUAGGUAGCGCCUCGUGAAUUCAUCUCCGGGGGUAGAGCACUGUUUCGGCUAGGGGGCCAUCCCGGCUUACCAACCCGAUGCAAACUGCGAAUACCGGAGAAUGUUAUCACGGGAGACACACGGCGGGUGCUAACGUCCGUCGUGAAGAGGGAAACAACCCAGACCGCCAGCUAAGGUCCCAAAGUCAUGGUUAAGUGGGAAACGAUGUGGGAAGGCCCAGACAGCCAGGAUGUUGGCUUAGAAGCAGCCAUCAUUUAAAGAAAGCGUAAUAGCUCACUGGUCGAGUCGGCCUGCGCGGAAGAUGUAACGGGGCUAAACCAUGCACCGAAGCUGCGGCAGCGACACUAUGUGUUGUUGGGUAGGGGAGCGUUCUGUAAGCCUGUGAAGGUGUGUCGUGAGGCAUGCUGGAGGUAUCAGAAGUGCGAAUGCUGACAUAAGUAACGAUAAAGCGGGUGAAAAGCCCGCUCG
This 628-nucleotide ribosomal RNA is filed under the name Salmonella enterica subsp. enterica serovar Gaminara. RNAcentral's name for it is "partial 23S ribosomal RNA". It matches the Rfam family "Bacterial large subunit ribosomal RNA", at positions 711 to 1336 of the family's 2925-position model. Lineage: Bacteria; Pseudomonadati; Pseudomonadota; Gammaproteobacteria; Enterobacterales; Enterobacteriaceae. The record is from RNAcentral.